AUUGAACGCUAGCGGCAUGCUUAACACAUGCAAGUCGAACGGUAGCAGACCUAGCUUGCUAGGUGCUGACGAGUGGCGGACGGGUGAGUAACGCGUAGGAAUCUACCUUUUUGUGGGGAAUCACUUGGGGAAACUCAAGCUAAUACCGCAUAAGCCCUAAGGGGGAAAGCAUGGGACCGAAAGGCCAUGCGCGAAAAGAUGAGCCUGCGUCGGAUUAGCUAGUUGGUGGGGUAAAGGCCUACCAAGGCGAGGAUCCGUAGCUGGUCUGAGAGGACGACCAGCCACACUGGGACUGAGACACGGCCCAGACUCCUACGGGAGGCAGCAGUAGGGAAUAUUGGACAAUGGGCGCAAGCCUGAUCCAGCAAUGCCGCGUGUGUGAAGAAGGCCUGCGGGUUGUAAAGCACUUUCAGUGGGGAGGAAGGCCUCGGUGUUAAUAGUACCUAGGAUUGACGUUACCCAAAUAAGAAGCACCGGCUAACUCUGUGCCAGCCGCCGCAGUAA
RNAcentral lists this ribosomal RNA (504 nucleotides) under uncultured bacterium. RNAcentral describes it as "partial 16S ribosomal RNA". It matches the Rfam family "Bacterial small subunit ribosomal RNA", at positions 30 to 523 of the family's 1533-position model. The record is from RNAcentral.